UACGUAGGGUGCGAGCGUUGUCCGGAAUUAUUGGGCGUAAAGAGCUCGUAGGCGGUGUGUCGCGUCGGCCGUGAAAACCUGCAGCUUAACUGUGGGCUUGCGGUCGAUACGGGCAUCACUGGAGUUCGGCAGGGGAGACUGGAAUUCCUGGUGUAGCGGUGAAAUGCGCAGAUAUCAGGAGGAACACCGGUGGCGAAGGCGGCUCACUGGUCCGGUACUGACGCUGAGGUGCGAAAGCGUGGGGAGCAAACAGG
RNAcentral lists this ribosomal RNA (254 nucleotides) under uncultured bacterium. RNAcentral describes it as "partial 16S ribosomal RNA". It matches the Rfam family "Bacterial small subunit ribosomal RNA", at positions 524 to 776 of the family's 1533-position model. The record is from RNAcentral.